This 582-nucleotide ribosomal RNA is filed under the name Tetraselmis striata. RNAcentral's name for it is "eukaryotic LSU rRNA". It matches the Rfam family "Eukaryotic large subunit ribosomal RNA", at positions 62 to 664 of the family's 3401-position model. The record is from RNAcentral. Lineage: Eukaryota; Viridiplantae; Chlorophyta; Chlorodendrophyceae; Chlorodendrales; Chlorodendraceae.
AGACUAACUAGGAUUCCCUUAGUAACGGCGAGUGAAACGGGAUAAGCCCAACUUGAAAAUCUGCAGGCCUUGUCUGCCGAAUUGUAGUCUAUAGAAGCAACCUCUGAGGCGCGCCUGGAUUAAGUUCCCUGGAAGGGGACGUCAGAGAGGGUGAGAACCCCGUCAUCUAUGGCUGCCGUCUCUUCACGAGAUGCUCUCGCAGAGUCGGGUUGGUUGAGAAUCCAGCCCUAAUUGGGAGGUACAUCCCUUCUAAGGCUAAAUACCGGUAAGAGACCGAUAGCGAACAAGUACCGCGAGGGAAAGAUGAAAAGGCCUUUGAAAAGAGAGUUAAAAAGUGCUUGAAAUUGUUGAGGGGGAAGUGUAUCAGAGGCGUGUGUGCUCCUAGGCUGUAUGUAGACUCUAACCGGUCUGCCCCUCAGUGCUAGGAGCUGGUCAGCAUGGGUUAGCUUAGUGGGACAAAAGCAGAGAUUGCUACUUUGCCGAUGCCACUUCGCUGUCCGAGGAUUAAGAGCGCUUCGCCUUCGGAGCUGCGUUCUCAUGAUGCUGGCAGAAGCACCUGAUACAGCCCGUCUUGAAACCGGG